RNAcentral lists this ribosomal RNA (429 nucleotides) under Chloroflexota bacterium. RNAcentral's name for it is "Chloroflexi bacterium partial 16S ribosomal RNA". It matches the Rfam family "Bacterial small subunit ribosomal RNA", at positions 355 to 776 of the family's 1533-position model. Lineage: Bacteria; Bacillati; Chloroflexota. The record is from RNAcentral.
UGGGGAAUAUUGCACAAUGGGCGCAAGCCUGAUGCAGCCAUGCCGCGUGUGUGAAGAAGGCCUUCGGGUUGUAAAGCACUUUCAGCGGGGAGGAAGGCGAUAAGGUUAAUAACCUUGUCGUUUGACGUUACCCGCAGAAGAAGCACCGGCUAACUCCGUGCCAGCAGCCGCGGUAAUACGGAGGGUGCAAGCGUUAAUCGGAAUUACUGGGCGUAAAGCGCACGCAGGCGGUCUGUCAAGUCGGAUGUGAAAUCCCCGGGCUUAACCUGGGAACUGCAUUCGAAACUGGCAGGCUAGAGUCUUGUAGAGGGGGGUAGAAUUCCAGGUGUAGCGGUGAAAUGCGUAGAGAUCUGGAGGAAUACCGGUGGCGAAGGCGGCCCCCUGGACAAAGACUGACGCUCAGGUGCGAAAGCGUGGGGAGCAAACAGG